GGGGAUUUAGCUCAGUGGUUCCAGAGCUUGACUUGCAAGCACAACGGGCCUGAGUUCGAACCCCAGUACCCCCG
RNAcentral lists this transfer RNA (74 nucleotides) under Fukomys damarensis (Damara mole-rat). It matches the Rfam family "tRNA". Rfam says of the family: Transfer RNA (tRNA) molecules are approximately 80 nucleotides in length. Their secondary structure includes four short double-helical elements and three loops (D, anti-codon, and T loops). The record is from Rfam by way of RNAcentral. Lineage: Eukaryota; Metazoa; Chordata; Mammalia; Rodentia; Bathyergidae.